UUAUGCUUAGACCACUUUUUGUAGGCCUCGUAGUCCCUGUAGUCCCAAACAUAACCUAUUUCUUAACUCCUCACAGAUUGGGACUUCUAUUUGUUUUAAGACUCAGACUCUAUUCCGUUGCAUCGCACGUCUCAGGCGCAUCAAAUCUGAGGCCGUUCUCUAUGCUCGUUUGCCUCGCAUGAAGCCCGCCAAAGACCCAUUUUCUCGUGUUCAAAUCACAUCGCUC
RNAcentral lists this long non-coding RNA (226 nucleotides) under Elaeis guineensis (African oil palm). Its description in RNAcentral is "long non-coding RNA (EGUI_LNC012932)". The record is from RNAcentral. Lineage: Eukaryota; Viridiplantae; Streptophyta; Magnoliopsida; Arecales; Arecaceae.